AAUCAACGCUGGCGGCGUGCCUAACACAUGCAAGUCGCACGAGAAAGGGACUUCGGUCCUGAGUAAAGUGGCGCACGGGUGAGUAACACGUGACUAAUCUACCCUCGAGUGGGGAAUAACCUAGGGAAACCUGGGCUAAUACCGCAUAACACUUACGAGUCAAAGCAGCAAUGCGCUUGGGGAGGAGGUCGCGGCAGAUUAGCUAGUUGGUGGGGUAAUGGCCCACCAAGGCGAUGAUCUGUAUCCGGCCUGAGAGGGCGCACGGACACACUGGAACUGAAACACGGUCCAGACUCCUACGGGAGGCAGCAGUGGGGAAUUUUGCGCAAUGGGGGAAACCCUGACGCAGCAACGCCGCGUGGAGGAUGAAGUCUCUUGGGACGUAAACUCCUUUCGACAGGGACGAUAAUGACGGUACCUGUAGAAGAAGCCCCGGCUAACUUCGUGCCAGCCGCCGCGGUAAC
This 464-nucleotide ribosomal RNA is filed under the name uncultured bacterium. Its description in RNAcentral is "bacterial SSU rRNA". It matches the Rfam family "Bacterial small subunit ribosomal RNA", at positions 32 to 524 of the family's 1533-position model. The record is from RNAcentral.